GACGAACGCUGGCGGCGUGCUUAACACAUGCAAGUCGAACGGAAAGGCCCUGCUUGCCGGGUGCUCGAGUGGCGAACGGGUGAGUAACACGUGGGUGAUCUGCCCCUUACUUUGGGAUAAGCCUGGGAAACUGGGUCUAAUACUGGAUAGGACCAUGCUGUAGGUGGUGUGGUGGAAAGAUUAGUUUCGGUAAGGGAUGAGCUCGCGGCCUAUCAGCUUGUUGGUGGGGUAAUGGCCUACCAAGGCGUCGACGGGUAGCCGGCCUGAGAGGGUGGACGGCCACAUUGGGACUGAGAUACGGCGCAGACGCCUACGGGAGGCAGCAGUGGGGAAUAGUGCACAAUGGGCGCAAGCCUGAUGCAGCGACGCCGCGUGGGGGAUGACGGCCUUCGGGUUGUAAACUCCUUUCAGCCAUGACGAAGCCCUUGUGGUGACGGUAGUGGUAGAAGAAGCACCGGCUAACUACGUG
RNAcentral lists this ribosomal RNA (469 nucleotides) under uncultured bacterium. Its description in RNAcentral is "partial 16S ribosomal RNA". It matches the Rfam family "Bacterial small subunit ribosomal RNA", at positions 28 to 507 of the family's 1533-position model. The record is from RNAcentral.